AGGUGGGGGAUGACGUCAAAUCAUCAUGCCCCUUAUGACCUGGGCGUACACACGUGCUACAAUGGCUGGUACAACGAGUCGCGAGUCGGUGACGGCAAGCUAAUCUCUUAAAGCCAGUCUCAGUUCGGAUUGUAGGCUGCAACUCGCCUACAUGAAGUCGGAAUCGCUAGUAAUCGCGGAUCAGCACGCCGCGGUGAAUACGUUCCCGGGCCUUGUACACACCGCCCCGUCACACCACGAGAGUUUGUAACACCCGAAGUCGGUGAGGUAACCCAUUUGGAGCCAGCCGCCUAACGGUCAUAAGGGGGCAUGAUGAUUUGACGUCAUCCCCACCU
RNAcentral lists this ribosomal RNA (335 nucleotides) under uncultured bacterium. RNAcentral's name for it is "bacterial SSU rRNA". It matches the Rfam family "Bacterial small subunit ribosomal RNA", at positions 1170 to 1507 of the family's 1533-position model. The record is from RNAcentral.